CCUAAACUGUAGGAACCUAGGAAUACACAUUCAUACCCGCCUGUGACUGAUGCACACCUUCCAGGCUGUGGGGCAGCACAUACACGGACACAUUGGCCCAAAUUCUAGAGGUAACCUCCUUUAGUAUGCCCAGAGGAAGGGCAGUACAGUAGCCAUGGAUUCCCUACAGGUUUCCUCCCCUCUGGAGGUUUUUCCUGUCCUGAGUUAGUUACUGUCCGCUCUUUGUGAGUGAUGGAGGUUACAUAAAAUCCCUACACAAACAUUUUGGUAAAUAAUAAAUAAAGUUCCCCUUUGUUUAAACUGUU
This is a long non-coding RNA of Hyla sarda, 305 nucleotides long. RefSeq lists it as uncharacterized. The record is from RefSeq and is a predicted model, not a curated record. The transcript has 2 exons. NCBI's taxonomy places the organism in Eukaryota, Metazoa, Chordata, Amphibia, Anura, Hylidae.